CCUACGGGUGGCAGCAGUGAGGAAUAUUGGUCAAUGGCCGGAAGGCUGAACCAGCCAAGCCGCGUGAAGGACGAAGGUCCCAAGCAUUGUAAACUUCUUUUGUCAAGGGACAAAAUCCGGCUCGUGAGCCUGACCGAGGGUACUUCAAGAAUAAGCAUCGGCUAACUCCGUGCCAGCAGCCGCGGUAAUCCGGAGGUUCCGAGCGUUAUCCGGCUUUAUUGGGUUUAAAGGGUGCGUAGGCGGGCUGUUAAGUCAGAGGUAAAAGCCCGGGGCUAAACCCUGGACAGCCGUUGAAACUGGGGGUCUUGAGAGCGGGAGAGGUAAGCGGAAUUCGUAGUGUAGCGGUGAAAUGCGUAGAUAUUGGGAAGAACACCAAUUGCGAAGGCAGCAUACUGGAGGGUAUCUGACGCUGAGGCACGAAAGCGUGGGGAGCGAACAGGAUUAGAUACCCGUGUAGUC
RNAcentral lists this ribosomal RNA (459 nucleotides) under uncultured bacterium. RNAcentral's name for it is "partial 16S ribosomal RNA". It matches the Rfam family "Bacterial small subunit ribosomal RNA", at positions 338 to 795 of the family's 1533-position model. The record is from RNAcentral.